GGCUCAUUAUAUUUUAUUUGCGGCAGGGUAAAAAGAGAGCAUGAAAAUAUUUACCAAGGUUUAUUUUAACUCCAAAUAAUCUUAAUGUCAUUUUAAAAUAUAUGUAUUUUUCAAAUAGGUUUCAAUGGGCAAAUCCAUCGACCCAAAUGCAUAGAAAUGAAUGCAUUUUCUUGCUGUAAUUGAAAUUUCCCCUCUGAAGCUACCAUGGCCUCCGUGAAAGUUUUGUUCUGUUGUCACCUCUGCAGGUGAAAAGCCUCCCUCUUCCCAAUGCUACCUGCCAGCUACGCUUCUCGGCAGAUGUUUCUGGACUUCAGUGGCCUCAUUUGCAAGCUGAGAGGGCUGAACAGAUGAACCCUACACUCUUCUGUCUGAAGUUUCUGUGCUCCCAAAUGUCUUCAUUUUAAAGAGGAGGUGGGGAAGAGAUGGAAACUUCUAAACUAAGUGCCUCGCCCAGACAGCUCUCCUCAAAGAAGGGGAGCAACCCCAACCCCUCCCCAGCAGUGAGGGUCCUGAACCCACCCUUGGCCCAUCACCCACCCCCAGCCCACAGCAAGGGUCCAUCCCUGCCUCCCUUAAGAUGGGGAAAUGGGUCUCUUGGGCUGCCAGUAUGUGAGCCUGCUCUCCCCAGAAGGCAUAAUCCCUAGUAGGUGAGAUUGUUGAGAAUAACGCUGGGGGGUCCUCUAGCCCGGAAACCCUGCAAGCUGACAUGGGGCCUUCUCAAUCCCCGUUCCCACCACACAGAGCUGCAUUCCUGGAAAAUGACACGGCGCCAAGAGGUUUUUAAUAGAAAUGACCCUGCUGAUCAUCCCAGCCACCCUGUGAGUACACACAGAGUAUCAGGAAAACCUUGUUUUUCAAAUGAAGACACUGAGGCUGGAAGCCACGCAGUGACUUGUCUGGGCUCUGGCCCAGCAGAGCCUCACAUGCAAAUCUCAGGAUCCUAAACACCAUUUUCAUUGCUUUCUUUCCCCAAAAUGUUUGUGGUCUCUUUUGUGUCAGGUAAAGCACUAGUCACUUUCUACAAAGCCUUGCACGUUUUAUGUUGGAUUAUUCUGCUAUUUUGGCAAAUAAUGUGAAAGUGUUUAAGCACUUUUAUGUCAAACCUAAUUUCCUUUCAACAUCAUGUGAUAAUACCAGAAGUUGGCAGGGGAAAUUUUGUUGUUUUUCUCUUAUUUUUAAGUUAAAUAUUAAUGAUAAAAAAGAACCAUCAAUAAGAGCCCCUUGCAGUCCCUGAGCUCUUCACAUCCUGGUGACUAUUUUUACUGGGAAGAUGCUUUUAUUUCUGACUCUGCAUGGUAACUGGGAUGACAUCAAUUAUUUGUUUGUUACCUCCCAAAUUAUCAAGGAGCCGAUGAUCUAAUGAUGAUGAUCAAUGACACAGGUGAUAGAUGAUGUCACAAUCUGAACACCUGCCGGGUGCCACCCAGCACCUUUCCUGCAUCGCCUCCCAUAUCCUCUGAGGACCCAAGAUCCACUUUAGUAUUUGCCACAUAGUAAAUGCUCAGAAAAUACCAGCGCAGUCACUCUUCUCUGGAGUCCAAUCUUCCCUGAACAGGUGCUCCUGCGCCCAUUUUAUAGGUGAGCAAACCGAGGAUAGAAAGUUUACAUCACUCCCUCAGGAUCCUGCAGCCAGUAUUUAAAUGCGAGGACAUGUUCUUUCUUCUACCUAUUGCUUGUGAAGCUAGGAAGGAGAUGGGGGUGAGGAAGGAGCAGAGCCCGAGGAAGGUGAAAAUACCAGAAGAAAAAUGGAAGGUGGAGGCCGGGCACAGUGGCUCACACCUGUAAUCCCAGCACUUUGGGGGGCUGAGUCGGGUGGAUCGCCUAAGAUCAGGAGUUCAAGACCAGCCUGGCUAACUGGGUGAAACCUUGUCUCUACCAAAAAUACAAAAAUUAGCCAAGUAUGGUAGUGCACACCUGUAAUUCCAGCUACUGGGGAAGCUGAGGCAGAAGAAUUGCUUGAACCUGGUAUGUGGAGACUGCAGUGAGCCAAGAUUGUGCCAUUGCACCCCAGCACUCCAGCCUGGGCAGCAGAGCAAGACCUCAUCUCAAAAAAAAAAAAAAAAAAGAAAGAAAGAAGAAUGGAAAGUGGAGAACAGGUGGUCUUAACAAGUUGUCCAGAGGAGGAGGAAAUGGAUAGCCCCAGGGCCCUCGUCCUUGGCACAUAUGCACAUGAACAGACCAAACCUGCCAGGUGGGCUUGAGGUUGGAAGGAGCCACAGGGCUGUGUCUACACUGUCCAGUAUGGAAGCACCCAACCACCUGCCACCACGGAACACGUGAAAAGUGUCGAGGUGACUGUGGAACUAAAUUUUUCAUUUUGCAUAAUUUUAAUUUAAAUUUUAAAUGAUAUAAUUUUUACAUUAUUUUCAUUCAUUUACAUUCUAAUAUCCACAGGUGGCUGCCACAUUGCACCACACAGCUGGAGAAGGCUGAGAAGAGGGGGAUGGAGAGACCCUCCCCUCCAAGGGAGAGGUGCAAGGGGGGCCUCUCUGCCCUCCAGGGCUCAGUAUCAAUGGUGGGAGACUGCCUUCAUCCCCCAGAACACACUCCUGGGACAGCUGCAAAUAGGGAACCCCCAAAGCCCAGCAGCUGUGGGAGGUGAAGGGGCAGCUCGGUUACAGACCAGGCUGCAAAGCAUCUGUCUAAAAGGGGUCUCCUGCGGGGCUUCCCAUUGGCUGACGGGAAGAAGCGUGAGGCAGAGUAACCCUGGCAAUGAACUUGAGGGAUCCACUGAGGGCUUUCUACAAUUCCCACAAGAUGCUGUUGCCCUUCCCCAUCCAAGAGGAUGCCAGAGCCCAUGUGAUGACCUUGUUAUCGUUAAGAGGCUUGAAAAAGCAAAACAAGAUCGUCCUGUCUCUGGAUGCACCUUUGAUGCCUCCAUUCUAUCAGGCAAGCAAGGCCCUGGAAACAUCCUUUCUCUCCAGCAGAGGAGCCUGAUAGGUUGACAGGGAACCCUGGUCUCUGGACUCCCAGGCUUAAUCUGGGCCAACAGAGGAAGGGGUUUCCUGAGAAGUGAGACCCUCCAGAGCCCCUGUGGAAGGCUCCCAGCUUUGGGGGCAUUUUUGGUUUCUUAAUCUGCAUUUAGCUCCACCUCAGAGUGGGGCAUGGGGAACCUGAUUGGGAUUUAGAAGGUGACGAGGCAUUCUUACACUAAUUGUGCCCCUCGGGAUGCAUGGAAUACUAGGAGACACCAUGGCUUUUCACAUUCAGGUGCUCGUGUGAACAUCACCAACUGCCUCUAAACACAGGUAGCAGCAACAUGCAAUCUUUUGAUGGGAAGCAGUUAUUUCUUGAUCACUCGAGGGUUUUGAAGGCAGCCAGGCAGCUCAGGGGAAAAGCAGGUUCUACGAGAAGAGAGACAUGAUAUGCUCAGACAUUUCUGCAUCCUUGUCCUACACACAGUGUGAUCCACAGUGGUAAAGGUGAAGAAACUGAGAUUCACGAGUGUUUCAGAAAACUGCCUAAGAUGUUAGAACUAACAAGUCCUGAAGUUCAAACCCAAGUAUGACUGUCAACAUGAGGUUCUUUCUACAAACAGCAAUUCUGGAAGCUUCCAUUUACAGAGUGUUGCCCACAGAAGGGGCCUGGAAUACUGGUUGUUCAUGGAAUCUUCACUACUGCCCCAUGAAGUAGAGACAACGAUUAAGCCCAUUUUACCAAUGAGGAAAAUGGAAGCACAGAGAGACCUAAUAACCUUCCUAAGAUCACACAGUGAGACAGGACCCACAGUUGUUCUCUUUCCUCACCUCAUCACACUGCAGCCAUGACCAACCAAGAGGGCACAAUCGUCACUUAAGGCAUGAAGAAGCUCUGGUCAUAGGCUUGACUUGCAGGUGAGCCACCGAUCGGGGUUGCUCAAUGUGUCCUGAGCCCAAUUCAAGUCAGAUUGUGAAACCUUUGCUUCAACAGUCCCAGUGAUGGGAAGCUCAAUGGGAAGCGAGUCUCUCAGUCAGCUGCCAAUGAGUCUUUCCUUCCCUGAAUGCACAUAGUGGGUAUCAUAUUAAGAUGUGAGGGUUACAUUCUCUCCCCUUGAAUCUGGGCUGGCCCUGUGAUAUGAUGAGCAGAAUGUAGUAGAGGUGACACUCCAGAACUUCCAAGCCCAAAUCCAAGAUUAGCAGUUUCUCCUUCCUUCCCCUUGGGACACAAUCACAAGAGAAGCCUGGGCCCCAAGGAGAAGCCACAUGGAGGAGAACCAAGGUGUUCCAGUUGACAACUCUAAAAGACCUCCUGCCAACAGCCAGCACCAGCUGCCAGCAGGGGGAAUGAGCUGCUUUAGAUUGCCAGCCAGCAUGGAGACCCCAGGUGACUGCAGCCAGCGACAUCAUGAAGAGCAGCAGAACCAACCAGCUGAGCCCUGUCACCCCACAGAAUCACAAGAAUAACAAAACAGUCGGUGGCUUAAGUCAUUGAUCUCCUAGACAUUUUACUGUGCUGCUACCAAUAACUACCUUGUGAGGCAGCCUGUGUACCUGGAGACUGUUCCACCUUUAGGUGUUUUUUCCAUAAAGCUAAAUCCUCAUUCUUUCAUUUGUCUCCCUGGUUGGAGAUCUCCCUCAGGAACCACAUAGAACACAUGACAGAGAAUUAGAAAUGAAGGGGUAUGAGUUAUUAAAGACCAGCUUGUCCAUAUUGCUAACUAUACAGAUUAGUGAUUGAAGGCCAAACAGAUUCUGUGGCAUUCUCUGACCUCCCAUCCAGGUUGGGUACCCCACUCUGAGCUCCCACAAUCCCCUCUGCUUUUCCCACGAAAGCACUUACCACACCACACUACCUCCUAAUAACGUGGUAACAUCUCUUUCCAGGCAAGAGGCCAUAGGC
This 4818-nucleotide long non-coding RNA is filed under the name Homo sapiens (human). Its description in RNAcentral is "HSALNT0234957". Lineage: Eukaryota; Metazoa; Chordata; Mammalia; Primates; Hominidae. The record is from RNAcentral.